RNAcentral lists this ribosomal RNA (254 nucleotides) under uncultured bacterium. RNAcentral describes it as "partial 16S ribosomal RNA". It matches the Rfam family "Bacterial small subunit ribosomal RNA", at positions 524 to 776 of the family's 1533-position model. The record is from RNAcentral.
UACGUAGGUGGCAAGCGUUGUCCGGAUUUACUGGGCGUAAAGAGCGCGCAGGCGGUCGUUCAAGUCGCGUGUGAAAGCCCCCGGCUCAACUGGGGAGGGUCACGCGAUACUGAUCGACUCGAAGGCAGGAGAGGGUAGUGGAGUUCCCGGUGUAGUGGUGAAAUGCGUAGAUAUCGGGAGGAACACCAGUGGCGAAGGCGACUACCUGGCCUGUUUCUUGACGCUGAGGCGCGAAAGCUAGGGGAGCAAACGGG